This 14206-nucleotide long non-coding RNA is filed under the name Setaria italica (foxtail millet). Its description in RNAcentral is "long non-coding RNA (SITA_LNC005454)". The record is from RNAcentral. Lineage: Eukaryota; Viridiplantae; Streptophyta; Magnoliopsida; Poales; Poaceae.
GUGUCCGACAGCUCUCGCUCUCUGGGCACGCCUGGGGUACUGCGCAGGUUGCUGCAUGCGCUCCUGCCGUGAUGAUACAAAGCUCUGAGCGGCGCGGGUUCCUGGUGCUCGCUCUUUUCUCCCAUGCAGAACGCCGAUGUGAUAUCUUUCAUCCGUCCUGUAACCCCAAACUGCUGUAAACUGAACUGAUAUAGCCCUGUUUCGGACCUGAGAUCCUAAUGGAAGUUUCAGGUGGGGGAGUCUCCCCCGUGUCGACCUUUCACAAAAAAAAGUACGAUACUUAAAGUUUUGAAUUACAAUAUUUGCAAAACAUUUCAUCAAGAAAAAUUUAAGUGCAUAUGAAGGGAAAAAAAGGUCUUGACAUGAUAGCCAAACAAUUUAAGUGCAUACGCAGGGAUCUCCCCUGUGCACGCCCCCGGAUUUUCAAACGACGCCGACGAAGUCCAAAUAGCAGACCGCGCGCGUUCUGCAAAUGACCCACGUUCUGCAAAUACGCGCGCGUUUUGACCCAAAUGACCGCGCGCCGGCACCAUUAGCGAAUACAAAAAUUGAACGAAGCCGGAGAACCGACGACCCUUGCCUCGGCCUAUAAAUAGAUGGAGUUUGGAGAGGAAAGCAAUCGCUCCCAGGCUGCUACGCUAAACACGAAACGCCGCCGCCAGGCUGCUGCGAUCCCUCGACGGAGAGCGGCACCGGCAAACACCACCCCAGCAAGCACCGGUGAGGAAGGAGAUCCGGCAAGGUGAGGAGCCUGAUGGCCGGCGUUCCUCUGACCAUCUUCCCCUCGUCCUCCCUCUUUCUUGCUUCCCCAUGAUGCAAAUCAGAAAAAGGCUCAAGGCCCUGCCCGUCGGUUUGGUCUUUUGAUACAAACCACAACGGGAUGCAAGAAGGCCCCAAUCCUCGGCUCGGUCCGUUGAUAGAUACGACGUCAGGAUGGGAUGAGCUCUUGUUCUUCGAUUCGGUCUGUUGAUACCAACUCAUGGACAAGUGCUAAUGACUGCAUGUUGAAAGCGGUUGAACCAGGCUCUGUCUGCACUCCGAUCCGUAUACGGGGUUGGCUGAUCAUGAAUCCCUGCAACGAGUGGCAGCGGCAACAACACAUAUAAAGUUACCUGCAUGCUGAUUAUAAGUGGUUGCCUUAUGUAUACUACACGUGUAGGCUCUCCCUAUAUACUGGAGCAUACUGUCUUGUUAGUAGUAAAGCAGGUCGAUCAACCACCUCCAAAGAAACGAUCAUCUCUGUAUAAACUAUUAGAUGGCGUCAAAAGAAACAGUCAUGCGCUGCAUCGUCCGCAUGCAUGCAAGUUCAGUUUAGUAGUCUCCUAUCCAUGCGCCCCAUUGCCUAGCAGGAGCAUCAACUAGCAUCAUCUCAAUUUAUAAAAUUGGCUACAUUAAUUGAUUCUGUGGCCGCAUACUCAACUGCUCUAUGUCAAAAUAAUUAGCAUGCAUCGAAAUCUGCAGCUGCUUCAAAUCCUAUGCGUAGCCAAAUGCUUAGAUACUAAUGUAAACGUAGUCGAACUAAGAAAACUCUGCCACAUGCAUGAACGUCGUCUCUGCGUCUUGUCCUGAUCAGCCAGGAUGAGAUAAACAAAGCUUACAAUAGCGACGCAAUACUCGUAGUAGCUGUGAGUUAAGUAAUGACAAAUCAUGCCUAAUCUAAAGGAACAGGCAGUCACGAUGUUUCCCUGAGAAAUACUAUAACCUGUCUCAUGCAAAUGACAGAGAAAAGGGAAACGUUAUAUAUCCGACAUCUGCAUCUCGGGUUCGAUAAGCGUACAAACAAACUAGCAGUAACCCAUGUGUACACAGAAUGUACCUCUGCUAAACCAUGCAUGAAUUCCAAAUAAGUGCAUGAGCUUGAAUUUUGUUUAAUUUUAAUGGAUCCUAAGUUUGAGCUAUAAUUUUAACAUAGAAAUCUAUAUUCUCACCAGUUUCUCUAUGUAUUUAUAAAUGGUGACACACAUCAUGUGUAUAUACCUUAAGUAUUGUAUUAUAUACCAAUGGUGUAAGAAUAGAUAAUUUAAAAUCAUAUAUUGGUGUAUAUUGGGGUAUAUUUUUAAUGAAUGUGAUUUAGAUUCAUUUUUAGAGUUACCUCAUGUUAUUUUUAAUAAUGAUAUAAGUGGGUAAUAUAGAUGCAAAUUUAAGGGUUACUUUAAGUUAUUUUUUAAGUAUUGGUGGUGGGCAAUUUAGUUGAAAAUUUAGGAAGUUAUGUUAAUUUUUUUAUAAUGGCAUAAGUGGGUAAUUUAGAUGAAUAUUAGGGGUUACUUUAGUUUAUUUAUAUAAUGACAAAGGUGGUUAUUUACAGAGGUUACUUUAGGCUAUUUUCAUAAUGGCAGAGGUGGGUAAUUUUUUAGAAAAUAUAAUAGAUCCAAUGGUAACGAUGAUUUGAGUCUAUCGAUUGAUUGCCGGAUGUUUUGCUUUUUUUUAAGAAUUUUUAGGAUUUCUCUAUUUUUUUUAGAGUGUCCACCUAAGAUCCUAGGUGGCUUCACCUGAAGAAGCCUCCAAUUAGUAAUAGUAAGAUGCGAUCCCAUGUUUUUUUACUCCUUGCAUUGAGGAGGUUUUUCCACGCAAAUCACUUGUCUUUGUGCAUGCCACUUUGAGUUUUUAUUGAUUUUCCCAAUUCCCAUGCUUCGAAUUCUUCUAUAAUGAUGUGUACUAAUGGAAAUUAAAGUCACAAUUUUCUAUUGCGCCAUGACAUUUCCUAAUAGAUAGCAGGUGAAUGGUCCAUAUCUAGACAUGCAUGGAGUCGCCUCAGGUAUUGAGGUAUCAUUAAACCAGCAUGCUCAAUAUGUUCUCACACAAAGUUGCAUUGUUUCUGUUUUCCGAUGAUGGGUACUCCAUAUUAUUGUUUAAUGUUCUUUCCGGGGAAAAAAAACUAGGGACACGAACCAUUCUAUAUUUCUGGACUUUGAGAUCUAGUGCUCUUGGGUUGCCUAUAUGGUUGUUGAAACUUGAAAACCAUAUUGACAGUAGUAGCUCUGAAGGUGUAGAAUUCUAAAUUAAACCUUCAUGCACUGCCCGAACUCUGAAAUAAAGUUGCAUACUACUCCACUUGAAUCCACCCAAUGCAUGAUUAAGCGUUGCGUGCAUAUAGGCAAAAUGGUCUGUUCUAUGUCUGAUUAAUUAGCAAAUGCAUCUGGUGUGUGCAGUGGAUAGUAGUUGUUACGUUGCAUCCCAGUUCCUAACAGCCUCCAUCAGACUUACAGUUAUUACGCCAGGUCAGCCGUAUAUUUUUUUUUUUUUUGUCGUUGCUCCGCACCAAGAACGUGGAACGCAGCUUCGAAUCCCCAUUCCAAUUCCAUCCUCAUCGCGGCAGCGGGAGGGGAACUGGGGCAAGAGUCCAGCAGCAAAAUAAAAUACGCGAGGACGUUCUGCUUGGCAAAGAGAUUUCUUUCCGGAUCUCUAGCCGGACGUUGAGCAGGGUCUCCUAAUUGAAAGCUUUUUUUUGGGGGGCAACUCCUAAUUGAAGGAUUGGGCACUUGUUCCCAGCUCGCUUCUUGAGGUUGAGAUCAGUGCGUUGCGUGAGUACACGUGGAAUUAUUGGCUGGCUGCGAAACAAACCAAGUGGUAAGGAAAAGAUCUUUGGACCAAGCAUCUGUCAUUUGUGGUCGGUCAUCAACACGCGAGAAAUUAAAAUUCCCAUCUGCUUUUGGGAUAUUUUGAUGAUCAGGCGGACCAUCCGGUGACCGAGACAAUAUCUGUCAUACGUUGGGCCCAGCCCGUGCCCACGCAAAAAAAAAAAGAAGAUCAUGCUCACUGUUGUUAAGCAACAAAGCGACAACAGAACGUAGGAUCAAGUGCAGCCUAUAUGGUCACCAAGGGCAAGCAUCACGCCAUCCCCGAAGUAUCUCAAUGUACUUUUACUUGACACAUGCCUAUAAUUACAUACUGUAACGUCGAGUUCCUGACCCAUAAGCUUUAUGGACAAGCCGGAGUCAGGGGGGACAAGACACCUCAUUUUUUAUGUCGCGACAUGUCGCCGCGAUGGCUUGACAGCGGCCCGUCACCGGCUUGUGGCUGCCGGUAAUGGAGCGGCUAGCUGGCCAGCCGGGCCAGCGAGACCUGAAGGUGAUGCCUCACCAUCACCGCGCUGGCAUGACAGCGACCCGGCACUAAUAAUGGAGCAGCUGGCUGUAGUGGCUUCACUUGGAAGCUGGUUCCGUUCAUCAGCUCAGUCCUUCCACGCUGCCAUCUCCAUUGUUCUCACUUCUCAGCACUGUAGCACACUGUAGCGUUUCGUUUGUAUUUGUGAAUUAUUGUCCAAAUAUUGACUAAUUAGGCUCAAAAGAUUCGUCUCGCAAAGUACAACAAAACUGUACAAUUAGUUUUUAAUUUCAUCUACAUUUAGUACUCCAUGCAUGUACCGCAAGUUUGAUGUGAUGGGGAAUCUUCUUUUUGCAUAGUGUCAAAGUUGGGAGUUGGGAGUAACUAAACAUGGCCCAAGCAUCUGUCAUUUGUGGUCGGUCAUCAGCACGCGAGAAUAAAAUUCCCAUCUGCUUUUGGGAUAUCCCAAAAGUGAUCGAGACAGUAUCUGUCAUACGUUGGGCCCAGCCCGUGCCCACGCAAAAAAAGAGAUCAUGCUCAGUGUUGUGAAGCAACAAAGCGACAACAGAAGGCAGGAUCAAGUGCAGCCUAGGCCUUGUUUAGUUCCUAGGAGUGCCAAAGUUGGGAGUUUGCCAUAAAUGCGCAACUGUAGCAUUUCGUUUGUAUUUGUGAAUUAUUGUCCAAACAUUAACUAAUUAGGCUCAAAAGAUUCGUCUCGCAAAGUACAACAAAACCGUGCAAUUAGUUUUUAAUUUCGUCUACAUUUAGUACUCCAUGCAUGUACCGCAAGUUUGAUGUGAUAGGGAAUCUUCUUUUUGCAUAGUGUCAAAGUUGGGAUUUUGGGGGAAACUAAACAUGGCCCUACACGUAUGGUCACCAAGGGCAAGCAUCACGCCAUCCCCGAAGUAUGUCAGGGGAGGUUUGAAUACACCGCUAAAGUUUAGCAUCAGCUAGAUGUUUGGAUUCUAAUUACGAGUAUUAAAUAUAGACUAAUUACAAAACUAGUUGCAUAGAUGGAGUCUAAUUCGCUUAGCAUCAGCCAGAUGUUUGGAUUCUAAUUACGAGUAUUAAAUAUAGACUAAUUACAAAACUAGUUGCAUAGAUGGAGUCUAAUUCGCGAGACGAAUCUAUUAAACUUAAUUAAUCCAUAAUUUGAUAACGUAGUGCUACAUUAACUAUUUGAUGGAUUAAUUAGACUUAAUAGAUUCGUAUCUCCUCCUAAUUAGUAUUCGAACGACACUCCUGCUUUUACUUGACAUGCCUAUAAUUACAUACUGUAACGUCAAGUUCCUGACACAUAAGCUUUCUGGACAAGCUGCAGUCAGGGGAGACAAGACACCUCAUUUUUUAUUUCACGACAAUGGUCUCUGAUCGGCUUUACCUGCAAUUUGCAGCAGUAUACACAUGUGGGAGGUAAAGGUGAGCUUUAUUGGUAAUGGCUAAAGUUCAUGAAAGAUUCGCUGGAGCGCAUCAAGCGGGGGAAAAGUUCUUUUGAAAGUGGCUGCUGGUGGACGCGGCUGGCUAUGGUGGCUUCACUUGGAAGCUGGUUCCGUUCAUCAGCUCAGUCCUUCCACGCUGCCAUCUCCAUUGUUCUCACUUCUCAGCACUGCACCCUUGGGAACGUAUGCGGUAUGCUCAACACACUGCCGCUCUCAUCUUGUGAGUUUGCAUCCUCCUCGUUCGUCAGCUAGUUUGGCCUCUCGUAGGUGCUGAUUGUUGCCUGAUUCCAAACGAUCUUUCAUUACCAGAUUCCAGCCUCCUCUGUUCCGAAAAGCGACGCCCAUGAGAAUUGAGAUGGCAUGGCACUACUAACCAGGAGGGAUUUGGCAUCGACGACUCCUUGUCCGACAACGUCUUCUCCGCCCGGCGCGACCCGGUCCUCUGCUGUACGUCCUGUUUUCGGAUCUGGGCGUGUCUUCCCCAACACCUCUGCUCUGCGCGUUCCUCUGCCGGAUCUUACUCUUUUGAGGAAGUCUCUACAGAUUUGAGCACACGCUCUGGCUGAGUGCCAGCCCUGGUGUGCAUCCGUUUUGUGGUAGGUACACGUACAGCUCUGACCUCGAAUGAAUCCUUGUCACGUGUUACUGAUUUGAUCUCUGCGAUUGCAAAUGCCUUUCUCUCUGCCUUCAGAUCCAGAAGGAACCUGAACCACUGCGUGACUCGUGAAGAUGGAGUUCGGGUUCAGCGCGGCGCAGUGGGUGGUGGGCAAGGCGCUCGCCCCCGUCGCAGACGGCUUCCUGGAGGCGUGGGCGGCCAGCAAGAAUCUCGGCUCCGAGGUCGAUGGCCUCAUGACGGUGCUGCAGUACGCGCAGGCCAUGCUCAACAACACCCGUGGCAGGGACAUCGACAACCCGGCCCUCAACGACCUGCUGCUCAAGCUGCGUCUGCUGGCCUACGACGCUGACGACGUGCUCGACGAGCUCGACUACUUCCGCAUCCAGGACGAGCUCGACGGCACCUACCAUGCCGCUAACCAGCACGCCGGGGGAUGCGCCCGUGACCUCCUCCUCAAUGCUCGUCACACUGGAAGAUACGUUGCCAAUAAAUUCAAGCUCUCCUCAGGCUCGCCUGAUGCUACUCGUGGACGACGAUUUCUAUGUGGUGCCUGGCCGUCCAAGGUACCGCAGAGAAGACAAACUGCCCAGAUACCAAAAUUGAAGUUUGAUAGGGUGGAUAUAUCUACAAGGAUGACAGAGAUCGUAAAGAAGCUCAAGCCCAUCUGUGCUAUGGUCUCAACCGUUCUUAAUCUAGAGUUGAUAGGCUCCAAAGCUAUCACUACUGCCACCAUGGAACGGCCCACAACCAGUGAGGAAAUUACAGAGCCUACAUUGUAUGGGAGGGAGACAGAGCUACAGAGUGUUGUAGAUUCCAUUACCCAUGGUGAAUGUUUUGCCAAUGAACUUACUGUGCUUCCAAUUGUUGGCCCGGGAGGUAUUGGGAAGACAACUUUCACACAACAUGUAUACCAAGAAGCGAGGAGCCAUUUCCAAGUUACAAUUUGGAUAUGCGUCUCUCUGGAUUUCAAUGCAGAUAGAUUGGCACAAGAAGCUGUGAAAAAGAUUCCCGAAGCUAAAGAUGAAAAGAAAAGUGGUAGUGACCACGAACUAAUUGAGCAAAGAUUAAAAGGUAAACGGUUUUUGCUUGUCCUGGAUGAUAUAUGGAAAUGUCAUGAGUAUGAGUGGGAAAAACUACUAGAACCAUUUGGAAAAGGUGGAGGAAAAGGUAAUAUGGUUAUAGUCACAACUCGAAUGUCAGAUGUGGCCAAAAUGGUUAAGACAGGUGAUUCUCAAAUACAGUUGCAUCGUUUAGGAGCUCAAGAUUUUAAGGAUUUCUUUGACGCAUGUGUAUCUACCAGAAUUUAUUCGUUCUGGUCAGAGCAUCCUGAGUUAAUUGAAACUGGGAAAGAAAUAAUGGCCAAACUGAAACGUAAUCCUCUUGCAGCAAAAACUGUAGGGAGAUUACUAGGAAAACAGCUCACUUUGGAGCAUUGGAGAAGGGUUCUAGAGAGCAAAGAAUGGGAACUCCAAACCAGUGACAAUGACAUUAUGCCAGCGUUGAAGAUUAGCUAUGAUUAUCUUCCAUUUAACCUAAAGCAAUGCUUUUCCUAUUGUGCUUUGUUUCCUGAAGAUUACGAAUUUGACAGCAAAGAGUUAGUUCACUUUUGGAUAGGACUAGAUGUUUUACAUCUGGGUGAUCAGAGCAUAAGAAUAGAAGAUGUUGGCAAGAGUUAUUUGAUUGACUUGGUCAACUAUGGAUUUUUCAAAAGGAACGAAAAAGACAAUGGCUGUCAUUAUUAUGUUAUCCAUGACCUAUUACAUGAGCUGGCGGUCAAAGUUUCACGGUACGAUUGUCUUAGCAUACAAAUAUCUAAAGUGAGGUCUGUACAUAUCCCGGCAUCGGUACGCCACUUGUCUAUCAUUGUGGAUAACAAAGAUGUUGAGGAUAUAAUUACUUAUAAAGACUGUGAGAAGGAUCUUGGUGCACUUGAUAAAAGGCUACAAAUUGAAAACAUACGUACAUUGAUGUUGUUUGGUGAAAAUGUGGAGAGUUUUUCCAAAACAUUUGGUAAUUUGUUUAAGAAAGCUGGAGCCCUUCGCGCUAUUUUUUUUGUCUGGAGCAUCAUAUAUUGUGGAGGAUAUGUGGCAGAACUUUUCAAAGCUCGUCCAUCUUCGCUACCUAAAGAUUAAGGGGAGUUACCAUUUUCUGGAAACAGACCUACCAGGAACAAUUUCAAGACUAUAUCACUUGAAGAUCCUAGACAUUAAAGAUUCCACGGACUGCCCUUUUCCAUCAAGAUAUUUAAGCAACCUCGCAAGCAUGCAACAUUUUCUUGUCCCUGGUAAUAAUAGCCUUCACUCAGACAUCCUCAAUGUGGGAAACCUGAAACUUCUACGAGAACUAAGAAGAUUUGAAGCUAAGAAAGAAAAUAAAGGUUUUGAGUUAAAGCAACUAGCAGAACUACUAGUGCUUGAAGUACUGGGCAUUUACAAUCUUGAAAAGGUUAAAGUAAAGGAAGAAGCAGUUGCAAUGAAAUUAAUACAAAAACACCAUUUACAAGAGCUCGUACUAGAUUGGGAUAUUAAUCGCUCCGAUAAGGAUCCUAUUGGAGAAGAGAAUAUCCUUGAAUGUCUUAUGCCACAUAGCAAUCUCUACAAGCUAUCUAUUACUGGGCAUGGAGGUGACACUUGCCCUUCAUGGCUUGGUAUGAACCUCUCGGUAAAAACUUUGGAUUCUCUUCGGCUGAGUAGUGUAUCUUGGAAAACAUUUCCACCUCUAGGAGAGAUGUGGUUUGUCGGUGAACAUUGUAAAAGCUGUAUACGAGAACAAAGCUUCAAAAAAUUGAAGAGGCUAGAACUGGAAAAGGUACCGAAAUUGAUAAAAUGGGUUGGAAAUGGCCCUUCUGAUUUGUUCUCUCACUUGGAAGUGCUCGUCAUCAAAGACUGCCCAGAACUCAUGGAAUUGCCAUUUUCACAUUGUGCUGGAUAUGGACAACACGUUGAGGAUAACAUGACCUGGUUUCGAAAAUUAAAAAAGCUCGAAAUUACAGAUUGUCCAAAGCUAUCAUCAUUGCCUUGUGUUCCAUGGUCUAGCUCUACUUGCAGCGCUAAGAUUGUACAAGCUGGUUCGGGUAUUGAGCAACUGUCUUUCAGAGGACAUAUCUUGGAAAUUAAGGGAAAGGACACAUUGGAUAGUGCUUUUUGGAGAGUGUUAGCCUUUCAUAACCUAUCCGAACUUGAAGUGUUGCAGGUGACGACAUGCCCUCCUUUGUCACUGGUUCACCUCGAAAAGCUAUCAUCCCUAAGGAGCCUCCGGAUAUAUGAUAUGGGUGAUGCCUUUUGUUCGGCUGAAGGUGGUGGUCAUGCCGGAUAUCAAUUUCCAGUUAAAGAUGUCACGAUUGGGCGAUAUGGUGGUAGUGGGCAGCGACUGACACGACUGUUCUCUUACUUCCCAAACCUCCUCUGGUUCAGGAUGUUCAGGUGUGAGAAGUUAACAGGGUUAGGUGUUGUGGGCCUGCAUAAGAGGACGGAAGCACUGCCAAGACCGCCGUCAAUUUCAGUUAACCAAGUGGAGGAGGCACAAGAGCAGCAGGGCGCAAGAGCAGAGGAGGAAAUAGCAGCAGCAGCAACAUCAGAAGGGGUACUAUUGCUGUCUCACCAAUUACAACGUUUGGAUAUCUCGUACUGCCAAAAUUUGGUCCUCUGCCCAGGUUUACUCGACCACGACGAAGACGAAGGACGAACCGGAGGUGGAGGCCUCCAAGGUCUGAGCUCCCUCACUUCAUUAACUAUACGGAAAUGCCCCAGGUUCCUCUCCUCCUAUUCGUCGUCCUCCUCUUCUUCUUGUUUCCCUUUCCCAACCUCCCUGGAAUUCCUCUCUCUUCGCGGCGUGGAGGGCAUGGAAACGCUGCUCCCUCUCUCGAACCUCACCUCUCUCACAGAGUUAGACAUACGGGAAUGUGGGGAUCUUAAAGGCGAGGGACUGCAGUCUCUCCUCGUUCAAGGCCGUCUCACCAGAUUAACUGUCCACGAAACCCCCAAAUUCUUCGCUGGUUCCGAGCCCUCACUGCCUCGUGAACCAGAGCUUCCAUCCUCUUCAUCCAAACUGCAGACGCUUGACACGGAUGACGUCGCGGGUGUCCUUGCUGCGCCCAUCUGUGCCUUCCUCUCUUCCUCGCUCACCAAAUUGGACUUUCGGUGGGUCAAAGAGGUGGAGCGCUUCACAAAGGAGCAAGAGGAGGCCCUUCAGCUCCUCACCUCCCUCGAGAGCAUCGAAUUUUGGUUUUCCAACAAGCUGCAGUGCCUCCCUGCAGGGCUGCAUAGACUUCCGAACCUCAAGAGAUUGGUGAUAAUCGAUUGUCAAGCCAUCGGCUCGCUGCAGGAUGGCCUGCCAGGUUCCCUGCUAGAGUUGGUGAUAUGCGAUUGUCAAGGCAUCCGGUCGAUACACAAGGAGUGCCUCCCGAAUUCACUGCAAAAACUAGUGAUCUCGAACUGCCCAGGCAUCCGGUUUCUUCCAAAGGUGGAAUACCUUCCAAGUUCGCUGCGAGAAUUGGUUGUCGAUGAUAGGAACAGCGAGGAACUAAGAAGGCAUUGCCGCAAGUUGAUAGGAACCAUUCCAAUAGUCAGAGCCUGAUUUACCCAAGGUAACAAAGAGGUGGAACUUCCUAGUCACCAAUUUCCCUUGCUUUUCCUAACCCUAUGGACAUCAGUUAUUCUCCUUUUGUUUAUUUGACAACAGUUAUGGUUUAUUUGACUACUUGUGUUUCACCUACUGUGCAGGGCUAUUGUUUGAAUUGGGAUUUCACUGUAUCCAUACAUGAUUCUCAGUUGUCAAGCGUGAACAUCGCAGGAUAUAUCUAACACCCUGUACAUAAACUGGUUAGUAUCCUGUAUGCAAAAUCAUCCGAGAGCCCCACAAAAUAUCUACAAAUUUGAUCCAUAUUUUUUCCGUUAAUCCUCCGCCUAUUGUUUUUGCUAAUUAUUUGGAUGUCUUUUUCUUAUAAUUAUUGAGGAAUUUAAACUUUUCGUAUUAGAGUUGAUAAAAAACUAUUGAUAGACAAUUUUGUCACUCACCGAACCCUGAUGUGUGAGUUUAUCAGUUUAAGAACGGCUUGUUGCUCCAACAACUUUCAAGUUGUCUUGGUGUACUGCUACAGAAAUAGGCUGCAUCCACAACAUAUUAACUCUGAAUUUAUUUGUUGGUUUUGCCAGCUCACCAGAAUAGUACUUCUCAGAUUGUAGGACCAACAUAUUAACUCUGAAUUUAUUUAUUAGUUUUGCCAGUUUACCAGUAUAGUACUUCUCAGAUUGUAGGGACUACUUGCCUUUGUUUUCUGAUGUAUUGCUGCACAAAAUAUUGCAUCCUUAGCUUUUCUGAUAUCCUAAUUUCUUUGCUUAAUGCUGGACUAAUUUGCUGUACCAACAUGGUAUCAGCGAUGUCUCAUUUUCUGUAUUCCAAGUUAGCAUACUUAUUGGAGUUUGAUGGACUUAUGUCCAUAUGUAUUCUCAGUAUCUGCAAAAGUCUCCAUUGGAACAUAUGUAAGCAAAAGAAGUUGCAGAAGCUAACCUAGAAAGAAAAAUAUAAAACUUCUUUUUGUACUGCCACAUAGAGUUCCAAAAAAAAGUCUCCAUUGGAACUUAUUUUGCUAAUUAUUUGGAUGUCUUUCUCUUAUAAUUAUUGAGUAGUUUAAACUUUUUGUAUUAUAGUUGAUAAAAAACUAUUGAUGGGGAGUUUUCUCACUCACAGAACACUGAUGUGUGAGUUUAGCAGUUUUAGACCAGCUUGCUGCUCCAACAACUUUAAAGUUGUCUUGGUGUGCUGCAACAGAAAUAGGCUGCAUACACAACAUAUUAACUCUGAAUUUAUCUAUUGAUUUUGCCAGUUUUCCAGAAUAGUACUUCUCGGAAUGUAUAGGACCUUUUUUGACUAAUUUUUUUCUUUGUUUUCUGAGGUAUUGCUGCAGAAAACCUGUUUUAUGCUUAGUUCCACUUUUUGAUAAUUCAAUUGGAAUUUCUUUCACAAGUUUUUCUUUUCUAUCUUCAAUGCAGUGAACCUUGAUGGAAAAAUAUUUACGAAGGUUUUAUAAGAUAUUCAUUCUCAAACACCUAAGGUAGCAUUACAGAUAGUUAGAUCUUCAUAGUUUUUUCUUAAUUACCAUGAAUUAUGUUUUAAGUAUUAACCUUUCCAUGUCACAGGAGAGCAAUUUAUUUUUCGGAUAAGCGAUGAAAUUUAUGCUACUCAACUGCGCAAGUGUAAACCUGCCUAACUGUUACUACUGACAACAGUAAGAGCCUACUCAAUCUUAGAAUUCAGUUACAAAUAUCAUAGUCAGCUAAUGUGAAAACUCUCAUAGUGUUCCUCUAGUUUUCUAGAUCAAACUUGGCAUGCAAGCUGUGUUGGCACAAAGAUUUGGUUGAUUCAAGGAAAUUUCUGGCACUUCAGUGAUCAACAUAAAACUACUACUCUAGCUGGAGCAACUUCAGAUGUUCCUAGUGGUUCUAUGAUUGGCAGGUCCGGCCAGUGCCAUCUUAAGCAGCUGUGAACAAAGUGUUCCUUCACAUUGCACUCGUCUAGAUCAACAGAGUAUCUAAGGGUGGGCGCUCAGUCUGACCGAACUGAACCGAUCGGUUCUUCAGGUUUUAGCAGAUUUCGGUUACCUAAAACUAGGAACCGAUUGGUUCCAAAAGUUUCCAAGACUGAGUAGCUUCGUGCAUUCUAUGCCGCUCACACUUGCUUGCUUGUAUACGAGGUGAUUGUUACACUUUCCCUGAGGUCCUUUUGUGAUGCCAGUAGACAUUGUAAAUGCCGUUCUUCUCUUGGAGAAAUAUUGAUCAAGCUUUUUUCCUCGGUGACCUUGCUUGCAGGAAUUAUGUCUCAUUGGAAGGUGACAUUGAGGUCGGGCACUGUACAUCCCAGCAUGCCCUGCUGCCCACCUACUGCAUCCUGACGACGGUCCGUGUGCGGGAUGGCUCGAGCACUGCAUUCUGGGAAGAUUCAUGGCUUCCGGUGGGGCCGCUCUGCGACGUUCUCCCGGCGCUCUACAGCCAUGUGGUCACUUCGGGCGCCACGGUGCGCGAUGUUCUACAAGGGGGCGUCGACCGCUUCCUACGAAACAGGGCCAAUAGAGUGGCUGCGGCGGAGAAGGUGAAACUGUAGUUGGUCGUUGGGCCUAAACCAAACAGAAGGUACGAAGAAGGAGUAUUGAGAGACAAAGAUAUCUCAAGCAAAGGUAACUGUGGCUGUCCUAUCAAUGAAUAGUAUCCGUUCUAGGGAUGGUUCACCUCGCUUUAUAGGGCCAUAAAAUUACAUUUCCGCAUAUCCGUUAUACUCAUGCUCAACAACUACCUCCUAGACAUAUCCCGUACAAGACAGUAACUUGGCCCCUACUCAAGAUGUCGCUUUCAAAGUGAGAUUACAUUUCUAACCCUUUCUAGGAUCUUUAUUACAAAAGUGACCCCUAAUAAUGUGGUUCCAGGACUGUCCUGAUUCCUUCCUUCCCUACUCAUUAGCUUCGUCGGUACUAAGAACGCCUCCGCAUGCUCUCCACCUUCAUUGGUCGAAAUCAGCUAACCUCGGGCUUUGGUCAUGGGGCCUCCCCGAGAUCAAGUCGUCGGGAGUUCCGUGGGGGCUUCAACUUCAGGAAUCUUCACCUGCAAAGUCACAGAACGGGCAUCUUCGGACCAGUUAACUUUGGUUAAUUGUUAGCUUCGUGGAAGAGUAUAGUGACGAAGUCAGCGCUGGUGUCGAGGAGAGGUCCGCGCCAGCUUUGUUCAAGAUGCGAUGUGGAGCGGUCCCCAACAUUGGUGCUGCCCGCUGCAAGGAACCCACGGCGAGCCACUCUGAUGGCGGCCACGGACCUCUCUCCGUGCCACUUCGCCUCCUACGUCUGGAAGAAUCGUGCUCCGCCACGAGUGAAGUGCUUCAUCUGGCUCUUGGUCCAGGAACGAAUACCAUUACCAUGCAGGGGCAAUUUGGCCGAGAAGCACAUGGUGCCGAACGCCAGGUGCGACCUCUGGCGUGAUGAUACAAAGCUCUGGGCGGUGCGGAUUCCUGGUGCUCGCUCUUUUCUCCCAUGCAGAACGCCGAUGUAAUAUCUUUCAUCCCUCCUGUAUCCCCAAACUGCUGUAAACUGAACUGAUAUAGCCCUGUUUCGGACCUGAGAUCC